UACGGAGGGUGCAAGCGUUAUCCGGAUUUACUGGGUUUAAAGGGUGUGUAGGCGGAUUAUUAAGUCAGUGGUGAAAUCUCCGAGCUCAACUCGGAAACUGCCAUUGAUACUAUUAGUCUUGAAUUAUGUUGAGGUAGGCGGAAUAUGUCAUGUAGCGGUGAAAUGCUUAGAUAUGACAUAGAACACCGAUUGCGAAGGCAGCUUGCUAAACAUAUAUUGACGCUGAGGCACGAAAGCGUGGGGAUCAAACAGG
This 253-nucleotide ribosomal RNA is filed under the name uncultured bacterium. Its description in RNAcentral is "partial 16S ribosomal RNA". It matches the Rfam family "Bacterial small subunit ribosomal RNA", at positions 524 to 776 of the family's 1533-position model. The record is from RNAcentral.